RNAcentral lists this ribosomal RNA (244 nucleotides) under uncultured bacterium. RNAcentral's name for it is "partial 16S ribosomal RNA". It matches the Rfam family "Bacterial small subunit ribosomal RNA", at positions 534 to 776 of the family's 1533-position model. The record is from RNAcentral.
GCAAGCGUUGUUCGGAUUUACUGGGCGUAAAGGGCGCGUAGGCGGCCACUGCAAGUCAGUUGUGAAAUCUCCGGGCUUAACCCGGAAAGGUCAACUGAUACUGCAGGGCUAGAGUGCAGAAGGGGCAACUGGAAUUCUCGGUGUAGCGGUGUAAUGCGUAGAUAUCGAGAGGAACACCUGCGGCGAAGGCGGGUUGCUGGGCUGACACUGACGCUGAGGCGCGAAAGCCAGGGGAGCAAACGGG